AAGUCGUAACAAGGUCUCCGUUGGUGAACCAGCGGAGGGAUCAUUACCGAGUUUUACAACUCCCAAACCCUAUGUGAACAUACCACUGUUGCUUCGGCGGAAACGUACCGGCGGCACACCCCCAAGCGGGGCGUCUCCCCGGAUCCAGGCGUCCGUCGAAGGUCCCCAAAACAAACUCUUGUUUCUUACCAUUGUGGUUCUUCUGAGUGGCAUAAGCAAAUAAAUCAAAACUUUCAACAACGGAUCUCUUGGUUCUG
Molecule: unclassified non-coding RNA, 257 nt
Filed under: air metagenome
Description: partial contains small subunit ribosomal RNA, internal transcribed spacer 1, and 5.8S ribosomal RNA
Rfam family: Eukaryotic small subunit ribosomal RNA (bases 1-46)
Source: RNAcentral